RNAcentral lists this long non-coding RNA (277 nucleotides) under Papio anubis (olive baboon). RNAcentral describes it as "lncRNA (ENSPANG00000044362.1)". The record is from RNAcentral. Lineage: Eukaryota; Metazoa; Chordata; Mammalia; Primates; Cercopithecidae.
CUACUUCAGGAUGUUGGUUCACUGGAGCACUGCAAAUUAGACUGACAAAAGACAGAUUAUCGGGAGAAAAAAAUACAAAGAAGCUAAUAGGCCGAAGAGCUUAUAUACCAUUUUAAACAAAGAAUGAUAAACUGUGGACACUUGACAGGAAAAAAAAAAAAAGGGUUUGAGGCUUUCCAGAGCAGUCCACUACGGGAAGCUCUCACUCUGGACGAUUAAACACCAAUACCACCAACCUGAGUAGGCCUUCCAGGAAAUACCGGGGACACUAAGAAGC